Non-coding RNA from Macaca mulatta (Rhesus monkey), 949 nucleotides. Lineage: Eukaryota; Metazoa; Chordata; Mammalia; Primates; Cercopithecidae. The record is from RefSeq and is a predicted model, not a curated record.
CUAAACACACUGCGCAUGCUCCAUCCCAAAGGGUAAGGCGAGCACUGCGCAUGCAGGAAACCCACCCUGUAAGGGAAGAAUCCUGGGGAAGAGGUGAGCCUAUGAAGUCCCAGGAUCAAGAUGGGACCAUCUAGUUGCAGGAAAACAAGCUGAGGACUCCCACUGAUUCUAGACUGUGAUCAUACCAAUCACCACUGAGAAGCCCAAUCACUACAACCACUAACCACAACAUAAAUCAACGUGAGGACCUGAGAGCUCACUCGCUCCCACUCUGUCCCUAGCCCAGCCUGGUUUUUCCAUCACAUGCUUCUUAGGCAGCAGGGAGCUGAGGCAGGGGGAACAUUUAGUUCCCUUUUCAAAGACUGGGGACACUUAAAAAUAUCUCCAAGUAAGCAACAGCAUUCAGAGGACGCUUAUUUAGACUUUGUAGGAGCCUGGUGUUGGGACUCUGGCUCCUGGAUGGCCUCAAACCUGCCCCUGGGCUUGGCCGAGGCUGGUCUGGGAGUACCAUUUGCAAAUGGCUCUUGCUUCACUGUUGCGUCUCCAUCUGGGUAAACAACCUAGCAACAGCCCUGGCUCUUCUUAAGGCUGUCUGUUAUAGACUGAACUGUGUGCCCCUCAGAUUUAUUUGUUAAAGUCCUGACCCCAGUACACCUCAGAAUGUGACUGCAUAUGGAAAUAGGGCAUGUAAAGCAGUCAUGAAGGUUAAGUAAGGUCAUAUGGAUUGGCUCUAGUUCAAUGUGACUGGUAUCCAUCUAAGAAGAGGAAGAGACACCAGAGCUUACUCUCUUUCCACGCACACAAUGGCCGUGUGAGCACACAGUGAGAAGAUGCUAUCUGCAAGCCAAGAAGAGAGGCCUUGGGAGAAACCAAACCUGCCAACACCUUGAUCUUGGACUUCUAGCCUCAAGAACUGUGAGAAAAUAAAUUUCUGCUGUUUAUUCCACCC